GAAAUGCGAUACGUAGUGUGAAUUGCAGAAUUCAGUGAAUCAUCGAAUCUUUGAACGCACAUUGCGCCCUUUGGUAUUCCAAAGGGCAUACCUGUUCGAGCGUCAUUUGUACCCUCAAGCUUUGCUUGGUGUUGCGCGUCUUUUGUCUCCAGCUCGCUGGAGACUCGCCUUAAAGUCAUUGGCAGCUGGCCUACUGGUUUCGGAGCGCAGCAUAAGUCGCGCUCUCUUCCAGCCAAGGUCAGCGUCCAGCAAGCUUUUUUUUCAACCUUUGACCUCGGAUCAGGUAGGGAUACCCGCUGAACUUAA
RNAcentral lists this unclassified non-coding RNA (306 nucleotides) under uncultured Chalastospora. RNAcentral's name for it is "sequence contains ITS1". The stretch from base 1 to 105 matches the Rfam family "5.8S ribosomal RNA", at positions 50 to 154 of the family's 154-position model. Lineage: Eukaryota; Fungi; Ascomycota; Dothideomycetes; Pleosporales. The record is from RNAcentral.